RNAcentral lists this ribosomal RNA (500 nucleotides) under uncultured bacterium. Its description in RNAcentral is "partial 16S ribosomal RNA". It matches the Rfam family "Bacterial small subunit ribosomal RNA", at positions 30 to 523 of the family's 1533-position model. The record is from RNAcentral.
AUUGAACGCUGGCGGAAUGCUUUACACAUGCAAGUCGAACGGCAGCACGGACUUCGGUCUGGUGGCGAGUGGCGAACGGGUGAGUAAUGUAUCGGAACGUGCCCAGUCGUGGGGGAUAACGUAGUGAAAAUUACGCUAAUACCGCAUACGAUCUAUGGAUGAAAGCGGGGGAUCGCAAGACCUCGCGCGAUUGGAGCGGCCGAUAUCAGAUUAGGUAGUUGGUGGGGUAAAGGCCCACCAAGCCAACGAUCUGUAGCUGGUCUGAGAGGACGACCAGCCACACUGGAACUGAGACACGGUCGAGACUCCGACGGGUGGCAGCAGUGGGGAAUUUUGGACAAUGGGCGAAAGCCUGAUCCAGCCAUUCCGCGUGCAGGAUGAAGGCCCUCGGGUUGUAAACUGCUUUUGUACAGAACGAAAAGGUUUCUACUAAUACUAGGAGCUCAUGACGGUACUGUAAGAAUAAGCACCGGCUAACUACGUGCCAGCAGACGCCGCAG